GUCCCCAUCGUUUAGGGGUCUAGGACACCGGGUUUUCAUCCCGGCAACAGGGGUUCAAAUCCCCUUGGGGAUG
This 73-nucleotide transfer RNA is filed under the name Spirochaetia bacterium. RNAcentral describes it as "tRNA-Glu". It matches the Rfam family "tRNA". Rfam says of the family: Transfer RNA (tRNA) molecules are approximately 80 nucleotides in length. Their secondary structure includes four short double-helical elements and three loops (D, anti-codon, and T loops). The record is from RNAcentral. Lineage: Bacteria; Pseudomonadati; Spirochaetota; Spirochaetia.